Molecule: ribosomal RNA, 304 nt
Filed under: Salmonella sp.
Lineage: Bacteria; Pseudomonadati; Pseudomonadota; Gammaproteobacteria; Enterobacterales; Enterobacteriaceae
Description: bacterial SSU rRNA
Rfam family: Bacterial small subunit ribosomal RNA
Source: RNAcentral
ACCCGCAGAAGAAGCACCGGCUAACUCCGUGCCAGCAGCCGCGGUAAUACGGAGGGUGCAAGCGUUAAUCGGAAUUACUGGGCGUAAAGCGCACGCAGGCGGUCUGUCAAGUCGGAUGUGAAAUCCCCGGGCUCAACCUGGGAACUGCAUUCGAAACUGGCAGGCUUGAGUCUUGUAGAGGGGGGUAGAAUUCCAGGUGUAGCGGUGAAAUGCGUAGAGAUCUGGAGGAAUACCGGUGGCGAAGGCGGCCCCCUGGACAAAGACUGACGCUCAGGUGCGAAAGCGUGGGGAGCAAACAGGAUUA